Long non-coding RNA from Pangasianodon hypophthalmus (striped catfish), 1404 nucleotides. RefSeq lists it as uncharacterized. The transcript has 5 exons. The record is from RefSeq and is a predicted model, not a curated record. NCBI's taxonomy places the organism in Eukaryota, Metazoa, Chordata, Actinopteri, Siluriformes, Pangasiidae.
CGAGGGACACACACUUUCACAAUGAGAGAGAGAGAGAGAGAGAGAGAGAGAGGAAAGCAGGCCCGGACAUCUGCAUGAGAGCAUCUCAUUCCACACACCGGCGUUAAAACGACAAGAAACACACACACACUCGUCCACCAGAGCCUUUUCACUGACAGACUCCACAUAGAUUUUGGAUAUAAACAAAUUAAUCAUAUGCUUGAUUACUAUCCGUGAAGGAGGGAUGAAAGGACGGAGGGAUGGGUGGAUGAGUGUGGCGUAUGGCGGCCAUUACGGCUCAUUGUGGCCCAACGGCACGAGCCGAGAGAAAAGCUGAAGUGUGUGUGUGUGUGUGUGUGUGUGUGCUGCCCCUCCCCCACCCGUGUCUUGCGCCUCCCCCUCCCAGGUCUCUAUUCAACAGUUGCUACUGACUCUGACAGGAUUUUCCACACGCCAGCUGCCGACCGCUGUGUGUGUGUGUGUGUGUGUGUGUGUGUGUCAGUGGGGAUUCCACUUCUGUCAGCCACAGCAGAGAGCCUAAAGACGGCCAUCUUGUCUGCCUCGUGUAAUUUAGUGUAUACGUGCAAGUGCAUAAGCCCGCAUGCCCGUGACCCUGUUCUUCAGGGUCAAAGUUAAAGCUGCAAAAAGGCGAAAAAUAAUUGAAAAUCCUUGAAAUAGACGACUCUUUGGGGAGCUGAAGGUCAAGUCAAUGUCAGUGGAGACUUCAGAAGCAGAACCAGAAGAUAUUAAUAUAAAUCUGAAACACACUGACUGGCAAUUGUACCGUGACCAUGAUCUUCAGGGGGUCAUCUUGCUAACUAGCGCAUUUUUCCAAUUUAAGUAAAACUUAUUCUAGCCUAGCUAGCUCUUAGUAAAUAUAACGGAAGCUAGUCAGUUAGCUCUUACGAAGUAACCCUUUGAAUUUUUACUGAUAGAGAUAGAUAGUGAGUAGAUGGGACAUGAGAGGACCAUCGACUAUGCAAGAGGUAGUGUAGCUAGCUAGCAAACUAGCAGCUAGCCAUUAGGAGGAUAAGGCAACAAUGUUUUAUAUAAGAAGGGAUUAUACAAUGACAUUCAAGGGCUUAGCUUGCUAACUAGCAUUUUUUUGUUUUUGUUUUUUUUUUCACUAUUCAAGUCAGCUAUCUCUUAGUAAAUAUGAAGGAAACAACCUAUUUUUUUUUUACUGAUGUUAAAUAUUAAACACAAAAUGGACAUAAAUACAGCUACAAAUGAGCUGCUAGGAGUAGCUAGCUAGCAAAUUAGCAGCUAGCUAUUGGGGGAUACGUUUAUUAUUAUUAUAGAUAGUCACAUAAUAUAUUCAUAUGAAAAAAAGACUUGGUAUGGCCCACUGUAGGGGUGUUAGAAAUGUAAUACACACAUGUUUGUGGAAACAUCUGAGCUGUUACUAAUAAAAAAAAAAAGAAA